AUUAUCUGACCCAAAAGAAACUACCCAAGUGGAUUUGAUCUCCUCUUUCAAAUAUAAAAUUAACCAAAAGGGUUCAAAUACAAUAAGCUUUCACACCAGUCUUGUUGUUCAUCUGCUUCAAUAAUACAACCAACAUUUCCUCCGCUUUCUCUCUCCUCCGUCGCGCUGCCGGAGAGAGAUAAUAUAAUCUUCCAAAUUCUCAUAAUAAUACAAACAAUGAGAUGAUCGAGGAGGCUAAUUAAUUGUUAAAAGACCCACCACGAUCUUGAACUCUCUUUCAAGUUUCAACAACACAUAGAGAGAGAGAAUUUAUGAGCCCUAGAUCUCUUCAUUCUAUGCACAGAAAGAGAUUUUGUUAUAUUUUCAACUUGUUGUUAGCUCUGUGAAUGGAGAAUGGUUAUGCACUUCUGCUGCUAGUGCUUUUGGCUGUAGGCAUGUUGUAUAUUUGUAAUUACUUGUGUUUGUUUGUUCUGUAUGGUUAAACAAAUUUUAAUCCAGUUUCUAUCAACAACACUGUAUACUUGUGGUUGGUUAUUAUAAUGUGUUUAUUCUUGUAGUUAAUCUAUAAUGACUUGUGUUUGUUUAGUAUGAGGGUUGGGGAAGAUGAAGUUCUGUGUAAAUUUA
RNAcentral lists this long non-coding RNA (624 nucleotides) under Helianthus annuus (common sunflower). The record is from RNAcentral. Lineage: Eukaryota; Viridiplantae; Streptophyta; Magnoliopsida; Asterales; Asteraceae.